This 467-nucleotide ribosomal RNA is filed under the name uncultured crenarchaeote. RNAcentral's name for it is "bacterial SSU rRNA". It matches the Rfam family "Archaeal small subunit ribosomal RNA", at positions 1 to 448 of the family's 1478-position model. Lineage: Archaea; Thermoproteati; Thermoproteota. The record is from RNAcentral.
AACCCGGUUGACCCUGCCGGACCCCACUGCUAUCGGGAUAGGACUAAGACAUGCUAGUUGAGCCUUCCAGCCAACACGGGAGCGCAGUACAGCUCAGUAACACGUGGCUAACCUACCCUUGAGACGGAGACAUCCCCGGGAAACUGGGGCUAAUCCCCGAUAGAUGAGAACUCCUGGAAUGGGUUCCGUCCAAAAGCAUUAAGGCCAUGCUUCUUGAUGUCGCUCAAGGAUGGGGCCGCGACCGAUCAGGCCGUUGGUGAGGUAAUGGCUCACCAAACCUAUAACCGGUACGGGCCGCGGGAGCGGGAGCCCGGAGAUGGGAACUGAGACAAGGUCCCAGGCCCUACGGGGCGGCACAGUUGCGAAAACUCCGCAAUGCACGAAAGUGUGACGGGGCUACCCCGAGUGCUGUCCGCUGAGGAUGGCUUUUCCUUGGUUUAAGGAGCCGGGGGAAUAAGCGGGGGGCA